AGCUCAGGCAGUCUGCCCACCUCAGCCUCCCAAAGUGCUAGGUUUAUAGGCACGAGCCACUACGCCCAGCCUCUUACUCCCUUUUAUAGUCCCCAUAGAGUAGUACUUCAAAACCUUGGCUGCACAUCGGAAUCACCUGGAGAGCUUUUCCAAGUCUCAGUGUUCAGGAUGCAUUCAUGACAUCUGGGCUGGGACCCAGGCAUUGAUAGUUUUUGAAGUUGCCCAGGGUAUUCCAGUGUGCACACAAGACUGAGAACCACUGCCAGAGGACUGUUCCAAAGAACCUUUAAUCAGGUCCCAAAUUUCACCUUCUGUUUCCUUAAGUUUGACUUAUUUUCACUUUACUGAAAGUAUCUUGGUAGAAAUCAAAAUAUCAAGGUAGAAAGUGUUAAAUUUCUAUUCCUCAUAGAGAGGAAUUGAUAAAGGCUUGUGGCGAUAUGAAGGGCAGAAUUUCAACUGGAGUGAUAAUUAGGGAACACUUAAAGAAGGAAAUGAUAUUUGAAAUGGAACUCUACUUUGUGGGAAGAAGGACAUUCUAAUGGAGAGAACAGUGUUAACAGUAUUUUUAUAAAGGAGCUUUGAGUGUCACAUGGAAUUUUGGUUAAGAAACUUGAAGACACAGUGUAAGGAACAUGGCUGUGCUUUGGUCAAGGACAGGCUGAGGUAAACAUCCAGAGUGACUCAGCAAGUUUAGAGUGCAGGCGUAUAACUCCACCUGUUAUCACAGCCAUGUGGCCAUAACAUGGGAAGAUUUAUCAUUUGGCUCUAAGCCACUAUUGUCUGUAAAAGGUAUAAUUGCCCUGCUGACACUGUAUAGGCACACUUGUGCCCAGAGAGAGAGAGUUAAGCUGCUGACCCUGAAGGCAAUGGAGAGCAGGCUGUGCAGCCAGCUCAAGCAGCCAAGACAGAGAGAACAGUGCGUGAGAGCUGUGGAUGGGAAAGCUGCUGAAUAAAACUACAUUUCACCUGCUUACGGCCCCGAGUGUUCUUUCAGCUAUCUGUCCAUCCACCCACUCCCCUCGGACCUCAGCAGGGGCUGGACCCUGGGCAUGACGUUUGGUGUACUCAUGAACCUGACAGUUGGCAUAGUUGGCCAGAUGAGGUGAGUGGGUCUUCAGUUCUGAGGGGUCUUGGGUCGGCUAUGUGGCCGCAGCAUGGGCUGUGGUACCCAGUGGCAGCGGUGCUGCCUGGGUGGGCCCCAGUGGAAACGUGGGAGGCAGUAGACAGGUCUCCCAUGAGUGUGGAGAAGGUACUGAAGCACCAGGAACUGCACAGCACUAAGGAAAAGCAUACCUUCGCUGGCAGAGUCACAUGGGCGUUUGUAACUGUGCUGCAGGAAUUGCAUGCCCAGUCCCUGCAGGAUGCAGCGCAGGGAGAAAGAACCUCUGUUGCAGGCUCGCCCAGUGAUCCACCAGAAAAUAUAGCAUGAGUAGCUGUUGGGCACCAAGGGUGAGCCUAGGGACCCUCCCCCCACCACCGUGGUGGAACACAUUUUAUAUGGUGCCUGCACCCCCGCUAUGUUGCGGGAGUCAAGCAAGUAAUGUCGGCAGUCAUGUACAGACUUAGUGCAAGUCAUUCAGGAGAAGGACGUUGGUGUACAACCUGGUCCUGCCCGAGUAUUCCAGUUCACAGAUUGCCUGCUGCAGUCAGGUGGAAGUGUAAAGCCUUUUCUGUUUGAUAAGAGACUGGCCGAGAUGCCUGGCUUGGGUGGCACCAGACAACCAAAGGCCAUAUGCGGACUUGGCAAUCCACUAGUCUCUGAACCCGGAUAAAUUUCCGGGCAGAGCUGUGUUUAUUAAUGGUUAUGAAGACCAGUCAGUGAAAGUGGAACCUGUGUCUGCACCUUGGCGUUCGCCACUUGGCUGUCUGCUUGUCCACUGUGCACAUCUCUCCCAUGCCUGGAGACAUUCUGGGGGUGGAUGUUUUGCACAGCUUGACAGCUGUGCUGUCUGUCACGGACUUGCUGGACUGCUUGACAAUAGAACUGGGAUGGUGCCACUGUGUGGUGGACCUGACCAAUGCAUUCCUCUCAAUCAACAUUGCUCCAGAGAGCCAGGAACAGUCUGCCUUCAUGGGAGGGUGACAAUGGACUUUCAUAGUGUCACUGCAGGACUAUAUGCAUAGCCUCAUCAUAUGUCAUGAUCUUGUUGAUGACGUUAUGCGAACCUCUGGUUCUCUUGCAGAUUUAGAAGUGGCAAUGCCCACCUUGCCUGGGGUUGCAUGGUGAGGCUUACACAGCCAAGCAGGCUCUUCAGUAGGCACAAGACCUAUGGGUAGUUGACUAGGGGUGCCCAUUUAAACUGAAUGUGCAUGUGACCACAAAUAGUGUUGGCUAGGGCCUAUAGCAGUGCAUGGAGACCUUGGAAGUGCCAACAGGCUUUUAGUCCUAGCUGUGGAAGGGAGCUGAGCUCCAGUGUUCAUUAAUACAGAAGCAGUUAGUAAUAGCAGAUGGGUGCAUUCAUGGGUAGUGACCCCCUGGACUGGGAAAGCAGUUAGUAACUACAUAUGCUGCCCAUCAGGCUCAUAAGAGUGUGGCAGAAUGGGUUACAGUCGUCAUAUGGACGACUUACCUGAUAGCAGGAUGGGUGCAUUCAUGGGUAGUGACUCCCCGGAUAAGGACGGUGCAGACAUCCACUUUAGUGAAGUGAAGCACCUGCUUAGAGCAGCGGAGUAUGCUGAGUACAAGUCCCUUAGCAGCAGAGUUACAAGAAGUCUUGGGACCUGUAGUCCUAAUGCAAGAUAAGGCCAUGGGGCCGGAGGUACACCUAGAAUCUGCACCUUCACUAUAAGGAAUGGUAUCCCCCCAUUCCUAAUGGGGCAUGGUACACAGGUCUAGUCGAGAUACUUGUGCUGCCUGGACUGUUGUCACAGUCCGGCCAUUCUACUGACACUAUAUGGUUUGAUACCAAGUGUGGGCAAAGUAGCUAAUGAGCUAAACUCAGAGCAAUGUGGAUGGUGAUCACCAAGAAGGUGACACCUACAGUAAUCUGCAGCUGUAGCUGGGCAGUUUAUUGAGGCUUAACCUUGUUGUUAAUUAUGUGAAAGUUAUAGAAUUACCUAGUCACCAACCCACAUAGGGCCAGGCCAUGUGGCCGGAUCCAUGAGAGGAAGGAUGACCUUCUCCAACCAGUUACGAGGAUGAGAGAUAAUCUGUUAUUACCUGCCCCAAUACCCCUAAAAGUAGGGAGACAAAACCUGGUGUCAGCCAUGGACCCUCCAAGCCCCUCAUUGCAGAUGGUUGGCGAUUGUGGCCUCCUGUGGGGAAGGGUCUGCAGUAUAACUUACAUGUUACUCCUUGGGUAUUUAAUGUGUGACCUCCACAAUUAGCCGUUCGUAGGGGAACGGCCAGGGAAGGAACCCUCCUCCGGGAACAUAUGUACUGUCUGUGUGGACUAUCAUAAACUUCCCUGUAACUUUGGCAUGGGUGCAGGACCCAAGGGAACCACAGAAAGCUGAUGAGGUGUAGCAUCAUCACCCAGGGCAGAAGCCCUUGGCAGCUGCAUUGUUAUCCAGGGAUGAAAAAUUGACUUGAAUUUUGCCUGAGGGACGUGAUUUACCCUGGUUAGUAUCCGUGCUUGCUUUGUUGUUUCAGCUGUAAGUUGGCAUGCUCCAGUAGCAUUGUGGACUGGUUCCACACCUUACUGAGGUGACCAAUGUCUCUAACUGUUGGAUCGGCACUGUCCUUCCAGCAGCAGCUGCGGAUGGCUUGCCCUGGCGUGUGCAUCCAGCUUCUGUGCAGAACUGCACACUGUCCAGGCCUCGUGGACAGUGGGUGGGAUGCAACACAUCAAGCUUUGAAUAGGAGGCGUCACAAAACCCAUGGCAAGCCUGCCCCCUGGCUGACUCUAGCGUCCAUGAUGGAUGGAGCUGUCUAAUGGGAGAACACGUGGUGCCCCCAUUGCGGACACCACCAUGUAUAGAGCAGCACUGGGGUAAAGUCACUGUGGGAUGGUUGCCUGCUGAGGUUUGUGCAAACAUAACACGAUCACUACACCAAGGGUGUUGUGGAAUAAGCGGCCUUACCAAGGCUGGGCCCCAGUGGACUUUGUACCCCCUGGGAGUUGAUGGGUCUGUGAGGGCACAGGAUGGCCAUAUCUGCCAGCCAAUUGGACUGUACCUGAGGGUGGCCCCAUGUGCCUGCCACUGUGCUUUCCACAUUGCCUGGUCACCUACAUGACUAGAGGGUGCUGCGUUUCCAGUUUUUGUGAGUGGGGUGGGCCCCCUUGUGGUUCUAUCCCUUAGCAAUAACUGUUCCUGGAGCAGGUGUCAUUACUGUAGGAAAUGCAAGUUACAGCCCUUGCAGAGCACACAGCUCGGGCCCUGAAUUGCAUCUGAGUUGCCCUCCUUUUGUUAACUGAUAAGGUUAAUCAGAUCAGGAAGGUGGUGCUACAAAACCGGAUGGCCUUAGACAUAGCCACAGCUGCCCAAGGUGGCACUUGUGCCCUUGUAGGGACACAAUGUUGAAAACUCAUCCCUGACAACCACCAGAACAUAAUGGCAGCUUUACAAGGGGUGUCCCAGGAGGUUAAGGUGAUUGAGCGCCUUGAUGAUGACCCCUGGAAGAGAUGGUGGGCAUCUCUGGGCUCUGGCCUACAUUGGGCUCUAAUAAUCAUGAGUAGCAUAGCAGGAAUAUUAGUAGUAUGUUGUUGCUCCUUAUAUUGUUGCUGUGGCCUAUAGGUCCAAGGUGCAGCCCUAUGUGCACCGGUCCUCACUAAAAGGACUCCAUCAGCCUAGGGGGUGGAAUGUAAGGCUUGUGUGCCAAGCCUAUAUAUCAAACCUAUGUACCCAAAACUUAUGUAUAAAGCCUGUGUGUAUAUAUAUCGAGCCUAUGUACCAAAGCUUAUGUAUAUAACCUGUGUAUCCAAGGCCUAUGUCUCCCUUGGCCGAGGGGGUGGAGUGUAAGGAACAUGGCUGUGCUUUUGUCAAGGACAGGCUGAGUGACUCAGCGAGUUUAGAGCUCAGGUGUAUAACUCCCCGUUACCACAACCAUGUAGCCAUAAAAUGGGAAGGCUCAUCAUUUGGCUCUAAGCCACUAUUGUUUGUAAAAGGUAUCAUUGCCCUGCUGACACUAUAUAGGGACUCUCGUGCCCAGAGAGAGAAAAUUAAGCUGCUGACCCUGAAGGCAAGGGAGAGCCAGCAGCACAGCUGUGUGUGGGAGCUGCCAGCUCAAACAGCUGAGACAGAGCGGACACUCUAAGAGAGGUGCUGAUGAGAGAGCUUCUGAAUAAAGCCAUAUUUCAUCUACCUAUGUCUCCCUGAGUUUUCUUUCAGCUGUUUGCCACUCAUCCACCCACUCCCUCCAGACCUCAGCAUGGGCUGGAACCUGACCCUGAACCUAACACAUGAAACUUAGAAGGCUGUUGCAAUGAUCCAGGAGUGAUAAAGUGAAAAUAUAAAUGAAGGCAGUGGCAAGUGAAUUGGGUGGGUCGCCUACAAGAUAAUAUGUUCUUUGAUUUCACUUGCUGGUGUGAAUUUUCUACUUCAUUUUUCCAUGACCAGGGUAACACUGAUUUUAAAACCUCUCUACAUCCUAACCUUUAUCUUCAGUUCAUCUCCAAUUUACCAACACACCAUGGAUACAGAAGAGGUGGGUAUGGGUCAGGGGGAGUAGAGGAAGAGUGAAGAGUUAAGAAUGACUCCCUGCUUUCUGGCUUGGGCCGCUAUGUUAUAAUAAUGACAUUCAGUGAGAUGGAAAAUGACAAUGAGGUGAAUUAAGUUUGAAGUAGAAGAGUACAGAUUUUGAAUAUGUCAUAGAACAGAUUCUGGGUGAUGUUCAUGGCAUAGCUGGAAAUAUAGGUCUAUACUUAGACUAAUUAAAUGAGAUAAAUGUAAAAAAUUAACAAAAGGCUUGAUACAUGUUAAGUACUAACUUGUGAUUUAUUAACAAAAUAAUUUAACCACCAAUGACAUUUAUAUUAGUGGUGAUUUUACUAUUAUGUAAAUUUCAGUGUUACUAUUUUUGGCUCCCUGAAUUUGUAGUAUCCCUAUGUACUAUGUUAUAAGAUAUUUUUGUCACCCAAGAAUGCUUAGCAGGCUGAGUAAAGCUGGCAAGUGUGAUAGGAAUAGAGGGAGGGGUGGUAAUAAUCUUAGCUAUAAUACACAAGGUGUUGCUACAUUCCCUUAAUAGGUAGAAUCUCAUUUAAUCCUUAACAGUAAUGCUAUGAGAUAGGCAUUAUUGGUAUCCUCAUUCUUGAGAUGAAGAAAUGGAGACGCAGAGAGACUGAGUAACUUGCCCAAAGUUAAACAGCUGGUAUGUGACACACAGAACCUAUAUUUGAACUUGUUCUGGUUCCACAGCUCAUGGUCUUAACCACUACCCUGCAGUUAGCUUGAAACACUAGUUUUUAAGUAAAGGACAAAGCAUUAGGAUGAGUCCAGCUUUAAGGGCUUAAAGAAAUGCACAGUGGAAGAAAAAUCCCAGCUAAAGGCAUUGGGAGUGCUAGCUGGAGGGUGGUUGAAUGAUACCUUACGUGAUCUCAACAUAAUUAGGAAAGAAAAAGGAGUUGUGUGAGGGUGAAGAUAUGGCCAGGGUAUAUCUGAUUUGAGUAAAAAGAAAUAUUGAGCUGUAGGAAUGGAUGUUUCCAUUUAGGAAGUACUGAUAUUGGAGCUAGUAGCUCCCUUGUGUAAAAAGUAUUUAGUUUGAAGGGUUUUGAUGUAGGCUGCCUUUCUGCUGAAGUUCAAAAGGGGUAAAAAAUUGUGUAAUUAUCCUAAUAAUUGAUAUCAAUCCUUUUUAAAAGUUUAAGCUUAAAAAGCAUAGUUAGGCCAGGUGUGGUGGCUCACCCCUGUAAUCCCAGCACUGUGGGAAGCUGAGGCAGACAGAUGACCCGAGGCCAGGAGUUUGAGACCAGCCUGGCCAACAUGGUAAAACCCCGUCUCUACUAAAAAUACAAAAGUUAGCCGGGCGUAGUGACACAUUCCUGUAAUACCAGCUACUCGGGAGCCUGAAGCAUGAGAAUUGCUUGAGCACGGGAGGCGGAGGUUGCAGUGAGCCGAGAUUGUGCCACUGCACACCAGCCUGGCAGAAUGAGACUCUGUCAGGGUGGAGAACAGUGCAGAGCAUAGUUACUUUUCAAAAAGAACAUGUGCCUUUUACAUCAGACCACCUGCAUUCACUUUCUGUCCCCAGGGAAAAGCAUCUUCGAGCAGCCUCAGCAUCACCUGGGAACUUGUUAGAAAUGCAAAUUCUUAAGCUCACUGCAGAGUUUACAGAAACUUGAGGAGGGGGCAGCAAUCUGGUUCACCAAGUCCUCCAGCUGAUUCUAAUGCGUACUCGAGUUUAAGAACCUCACUUAGAUCAGAUAGUUCAUUUUCAGCAAUGAUGCAUCACAGCUGUAAUAAAAAUAGUAUAAUAGUGUAAUUGAAAAUCUCAGUAACUGCUAUUACUACAUUAAUACAAGAUACAUUUAGGCAUAUUUCACAUGUACAAUAGGUUUCUGACUUCUGCAUGACUGUGCAAAGAAAUCCUUUCCUCUCCCAGUACUGGUUUCUCUAUCCGCUACCACUAUCACAACUGUCAAGGGAGUUGUGAGUAAACUAAUAGAUUUUAGAUAAUUUGCAAUUUAUAAAUAAAAGAAUAGAAAAAAACUGAAAAGUAUGAACAGUUUUGGGCAGUCCACACUGGAAGAGAAUAGUUAAUUCCAUUAUAUUCACUAAAGAUCUGAUAUCAAUAUACUAAAAAAGUGGACCACAGGUGAAAUUCAGAAGGGAGUCAUGUAAAUUUCUAGGUUCGGGUCCAUAAAACCAGCUUCACAAAUACUGGUGGGAUACUUAGUUUAGCUUCCAUAAUAAUGUAGGUGAAAAUAAGUUCAGGGUAAGGCAUUGGGAGUGUAUGUAGGCCCUCCAAAGGUUUGUGGCAUCUUCCUCUGCUUUAACAGCAUUGCUUCUCUAACUGGAAUGAAUUACUGUCUUCCUCCUUGAUUGUAAGAUCUUACCCAUAUGGCAGGUUCAUUGAUUCAUUCAACAAAUAUUGAUUGCCCUGGAGAUACAGUGGUGAACCAUAUAAAAUGCCUGCCAUCAUGGAGCUUACUUGCUAGUGGGAAGAAAAUACAAUAAAUGUCAUGUGCUACGUAGUUAUAAGUGCUGUGGAGAAAAAUAGAAAACAGAAUAGGGAACUACAAAAGACAGAGAUGCAGCUUUAAAUAGAAGAGACAUCACCAAGAAGAUAAUGAGCUGAACAAAGACCUGAAAAGAAUGAAUGAAGGCCUUAAUCUAGAACCUGUGCAGAAAAAGUGAAACUUGUGUUAAGGAGAGCCAGUAGGAUAGUAAGUGGGUCUUGUCAUCUGAGAAGUGUCAGGAACGUUUAACCUGCAAGACAGAAGACAGUGUUAGCUGCCAUCAAACGCUUGAAGAAUGGGCUUGGGAAGAAUUUGAUUUUCUUUGUUUUUGCAGGGAUUAGCAUGCAAUAAGAAAAUGACAGCUACAGGGAGAGCAUUGCCACUUGGAAACAACUUUGCAGAUGUUGUUCCUGCCUGUAGACAGGUUAUUGCCUUCAGAGAGCCUAGUUUCUCUUCCUUAAAGGAGUUUGAUAUUGUUUGGAUGUCACUUUAGUGGUGGUGAUGACUUCAGCUGGCAGAGCAACACAUAAGCUGCUGAGCAUCAGGGAUACAAGUGGCUGAGGAGUAAGCUGAGAAGCAGCAACUGAGCAUCAGAAACUACAGAUAGAUGUGGCUAACUUCAGACAGCGUGGCUUCAGGGAAAGAUCACCUUCUUCCUGCACCAUCCCCUUUCCAACUCUCAUCCCGCCAAGAACCACUUCCAUCACCAAAUAAAAUCAUCCACAUACACUA
Homo sapiens (human) is the source of this 8786-nucleotide long non-coding RNA. RefSeq lists it as uncharacterized. NCBI's taxonomy places the organism in Eukaryota, Metazoa, Chordata, Mammalia, Primates, Hominidae. The record is from RefSeq and is a predicted model, not a curated record. The transcript has 2 exons.